ACUCCUACGGGAGGCAGCAGUGGGAAUAUUGCACAAUGGGCGCAAGCCUGAUGCAGCCAUGCCGCGUGGGUGAUGAAGGCCUUCGGGUUGUAAAGCCCUUUCACCGGGGAGCGAUGAUGACGGUACCCGGCGAAGAAGCACCGGCUAACUCCGUGCCAGCAGCCGCGGUAAGACGGAGGGUGCUAGCGUUGUUCGGAAUCACUGGGCGUAAAGGGCGCGUAGGCGGCUGUGGCAGUCGGGUGUGAAAG
Molecule: ribosomal RNA, 248 nt
Filed under: uncultured bacterium
Lineage: Bacteria
Description: partial 16S ribosomal RNA
Rfam family: Bacterial small subunit ribosomal RNA
Source: RNAcentral